This is a long non-coding RNA of Pseudopipra pipra, 4097 nucleotides long. RefSeq lists it as uncharacterized. Lineage: Eukaryota; Metazoa; Chordata; Aves; Passeriformes; Pipridae. The transcript is spliced from 2 exons. The record is from RefSeq and is a predicted model, not a curated record.
UGGUGUUGGCCUCUGUCAACACCAGGUCCAGCUGGAGUGCAUGGACCUCUGCCUGAGGGUGGAUGAGGAGCUAACUAAGAGCUUAUGACAACAUUAAAGGGAGGACAGGCACAGGUGACAUUUUAGUGGGGAUCUGCUACAGGCCACCUGACCAGGAAUACAGAGUGGAUAAAGCCCUCUACAGAGAGAUAGGAGCAGCCUCACAUUCACAAGCCCUGGUCUUUAUGGGGGACUUCAAGCACUUGGAUAUCUGUUGGAGGGAUAACACAGCAGGGCAUAAUGCAUUCCUUGAGCACCCUGGAUUGUUUGAGGAUAAAUUGCUCCUCUAAGUAAUGGAGGAGCUAUCAAGAAGAGGUGUUAUCAUGCUAUAGUCUCACCAACAAGGAGGGACUGAUAGCAAAUGUGAAGCUCAAGGCCAGCCUGGGCUGCCAUGGUGGAGUUAAAGAUUCUUAGGGAAGCAAGGAGUGCGCACAGCAAGCUCACUACCCUCAACUUCAGGAGAGCAGACCUUGGCCUCUUUGGGAUCUGUUUGGUAGAGAACAGUUGACUAAAGCCCUGGAAGGGCAAAGGGUCCAAGAAAUAUUAUUAAUAUUCAAGGACCACCUCCUCCAAGCUCAGGAGUGAUGAAUUCCAGAAAAGAGGAAGACAGGCAAAAACACCAGAAGGCCUGCAUGGAUGAACAAAGAGCUCCUGGACAAACUCAAACAUAAAACGAAAGCCUAUAGAGAGUGGAAGCAAGGACAAGCAGCCUGGGAGGAAUACAGAGAGAUUGUCUGAGCAGUCAGGGAUCAGGUUAGGAAAGCUAAAGUCCUGAUAGAAUUAAACCCGGCCAGCCAUGUCAAAGGCAAGAAAAACUUCUACAGGUAAGUUGGUCAUAAAGGGAAGACUUGGGAAAAUAUGGGCCCUCUUUGGAAGAAAACAUGAGACCUGGUUACCUGGGACACAGACAAGGCUGAGAGAAGGUGGAAACUGGGGGUCUCUGCUUCUGUGAAUGUGUCUGAGCUCAUUUUCCCUUUCCGUGAUACAGUCUUAGAUUUCAGCAUCUAUGAUUCAUUCAUCUUCCAUGGACAUAUCAGCAACUGUCAUCUUUACUGACCCAUUCCCUGGGAGAGGAUUUCAAGUAUGAAGUAUGACUUUCUCCAGGUGUUACAGGUUUCCUAGAACUUAUGGCUGUUGCUAUAAUUUUCUAAGCAGUAGAUGGUGACUAGGAAUCCUUUUGUUUUACACCAUACUCAGGUAGCUCUGCAUAAGACUGAGGAAAUUUGCAUGAAUGAAGAAGUAGACUGUUAAAUUUGGCAUAUAAGUGAGGAAAGAUAUGGCUGAAAUGGGGAAAAAAGGGACUGAAUUCAGUUGCUAACCUUUCAGAUUUGCAUCUGUGCUAGGGAGGGAUAUACCAACUAAUUAAUUUAAUGGUCUUCUGCGGAGGUCAGUAAAGCUAAGACGAUCCCAAGGAGGCAAGAAGCUGAGAUGCUUUAUCGGACUUACAAGUUCAUAUUUAAAGGGUUUAUGGUUUACAUAUUCAACAGGGGUUUACAUAUUCAUCGAGGGGGGGUUGCAAAUUCAUUCUAUUAAAACUGGGGAGUUUCCACAAGGAUGAAGUAACAGGGAAAAACCCAGAUUGACAAAUCUUGGGGUCUUAGGAAUUACCUCAUGGGGAAAAAUCUAUUUUAUCUUAGGGGAUUUUACAGGGGGGAACAGGUAUUUGGGUCUACAAAAUGCAAGGAUUCGGGGAACACAAAGGGAGAGACAAGGUACAAUGGGUCUUCUGCACAGGUUUGAUGAGAUCAGGGCAUGGUUUCUCCAGGCUUGGGCAGGACAUUCCAAACCCGUGACAUAAAUGGAACCUUGUCUGGACUCUAGAUGGAGGUUUUUUCCCAGUCUCUGUCAGCCCAAGGCUUUUCUUUUUCUUUUUCUCAUAUACAAAUUUUGAAAUCCAACAGUCUUCAUAGCAGCCUAGCAAUAUAAGGAAUUGACUCUAAUGCUAAACCAAUGUUAUCUGCAAUUCUGCAAUAUAACCUAGACUGCCAAAGCAACUGAGAGAACAAGGCUUCUGGUUUCAUUUUUGGUUGGUUGGUUGGUUUGGUUUUAUUUGUUUGGGUUUGUUUGUUUGGUUGGUUAUUUAAUAUAAAUGGAAGAAAUCCAAUCUUUCCCAUGCUGUAAAUAAGUAACUGAAAUAGAACAUUACUUACUUUGAUGGGUGACUCUUAUAAAUACAGACUUAAUAGAAACAAGGACAUUGUCUGGAGUAAAUUCCUAUGACAGCUAAAAAUGUUAUGAGAAGUGGGAAAAAUGAAGAUUAAAGACCUUUAUUAGUAUACCAAUUUAUUUUCUAUUUCUUUUUAUUUUCCACAGAUUUUCUUAAAUGAGCUUUUCUGUCACUGUGCUAUUCCUGUUUCUGACCAUUUCUACUAUUUUUAUUUAUGUACUUAUUUACUUCACUGAAAUAAGAUGUCAUUUAACUCCCCUCAUCCUUUCUCAACUCCUUCUCAAUACUAAACUUUAUUUGUUUAUUAUUUUUUAUUAUUUUAUCUUCAGACAUUCUCAUGACACUCUGUCUUAAAUUACAUAUUCUUAUUGAUGUCACAUUUCUGUGAUUUAUUUAUACUUUCAUGUGCCCCUGGGUACAUUUGGUCCUGUGUUCUGGUUUCUGCAUUUCUCCUGUGAUUUCACAGCUUCUUCCAACCUCACAUACUCUCUUUCAGUCCUUUCAGACUCAUUCUUUUCCAAACUUUCACCCUUCCUAUUUCUUUAAAUUUGGUGUUUUGUUUUACUUUUUUUUAAAUUAUAUACCAUCCCAAUUUUCAGUCACAGUCUUCAGAGAAAUUAUGCAUUUAGCAAUCUGGGUUUAAAGUUUCAACAAACUAAAAAACUUUUGGAGAAUGUUGAAAGAUUUCUCUCUCUCUCCUUCUCAUUAUAAUUUGCAGCCAAUGGCAAAUUUCCUGAGGAGGAAUAUUCUCUGCUGCAUGGCUUGUAUGUUUAGGUGUUGCCUGUAUAUAUCUUGCCAAGUCCACCUCACUGAUUUCAUGAAUUGUAGGAUCAUUUAGGUUGGCAACCUCCAAGAUCAUCAAGUCCAAUCUUUGACCAAACACCACCUUGCAACUAGACCACAGCACGAAGUGCAGUGGCCCAUCCUUUCUUGAACACCUUCAGGGAUGGUGAUUCCAUCACCUCCCUGGGCAGUUCAUUCAAUAUCUUAACCACCCUUUCAGUAAAGAAAUUAUUCCUAAAGUCCAGCCUAAACCUGCUCUUGGUGUAGCUUGGGGCUAUGUCCUCUUUUCCUACUACUAGCUGUCUGGGAGAAGACGCCAACCUCCACUUGGCUAUAACCUCCUUUCAGGCAGUUGUAGAGAGCGGUAAGGCCCCCUGAGCUUCCUUUUUUUCCAGGCUAAACAAACCUAGCUCCCUCAGCUGCUCUUCAUAUGACUUACUCUCUAGACUUUUCACCAGCUCUUCUCUGGACACUCUUCCGCACACCAAUGUCUUUCUUGUAGGGAGGGGCCCAGAACUGGACACAGUACUCAAGGUGUGGCCUCAUCCAUGUUGAGUACAGAGGGAAAAUCACUGUCCUAGUUCUGCUGGCCACACUGUUCCUGAUACAGGCCAGGAUGCCAUUGGCCUUCUUGUCCACCUGGACACACUGCUGGCUCAUGUUCAGAUGACUGUCAACCAACACACCCAGGUCCUUUUCUGCUGGGCUGCUUUCCAGCCAAUCCACCUGUAUCACUGCUUGGGGUUGUUGUGACCCAAGUGCAGGACCCAACACUUUGCGCUAUUGAACCUCAUACAACUGGCCUCGGCCCAUCAAUACAGACUACUGAGAUCCCUUUGCAGAACCUUCCUACCCCCCAGCAGAUCAAUGGUCCUGUCCAACUUGGUGUUAUCCGCAAACUUACUGAAGCUGCACUUGAUUCCUUCACCCAGAUCAUCAAUAAAGGUAUUAACCAGGAUUGGCCUCAAUACUGAGCCCUGCAGAACACCAUUGGAGACUGGCCACCAACUGGGUGUAACUCCAUUCACCACCAGUCUCUAUGCUAGGCAAUCCAGUGAGUUUUUAAUCCAGCCAAGGAAAACACAGAAUAAAAAGGCAGAGACUAGAA